ACCAGGCAGUCGCACGGGCACACGCGUGGCCUCGUUGUUUCACUGACGAGUGGGAGAUGGGUGAGGAUGUGUGGGAAACUGCCGGAUGGGGGGGGAUAUCUACGGGCAACGGUGCCUAACCCCGCAAAAAGUCUGACCACCAGGGAUGGGGACCUUAGGGCCUCUGGGGGCUGANGUGCCUCUCCAGGAUUAGCUGGACAGUGGGGUAACGGCUCACCUGGGCCACAAUGCCUGGCUGGUUUGAGAUGAUGACCACCCACACUGGAACUGAGACACGGUCCACAUUCCUACGGUUGGCAGCGUUGUGGAAUUUUGCACUCUGGGCCCAAGCCUGAUGCAACCAUGCCGCGAGUAUGAAGAACGCCUUCGGGUUGUCUUGACUUUCANCGAGGAGGAAGGGAUUAUUGUUAAUACCUUUGCUCACUGCCAUUACCCGCAGAACAAAUUCCGGGGAACUCUCUGCCACCCGCCGCGGUAAAACGGAGGGUGCAUGAGUUAAUUCGAAUUACUGGGCGUACAGCACAUGCACGCNGCUUUUUCACUUCCAUACCAAAUCCCCGGGAUCCCCCUGGGAACUGAUCUGCUACUGGSAARCUUGAGUCUCGUAGAGUGGGGGUMGAAUUCCWGCGUKUASCGGUGAARUGCSUASAGMUYUGGARGAAUACCGAGAUGCKCSAAGKCGGCCCCCUGRACGAAKACUGACGCUCAUGUGUGCGARWGCGWGUGGGAGCAAACAGGAUUAKMUAGCCAUGGUAGUCCACGCYGWAAACGAUGUCGACWUGGAGGUUCGUGCCSUWSAGGCGUGRCWUCCGGAKCUAACKCGUUAAGCUCGACCGCCUGGGGAGUACGGCCGCAAGGUUAAAACUCAAAUGAAUUGACGGGGGCCCGCACAAGCGGUGGAGCAUGUGGUUUAAUUCGAUGCAACGCGAAGAACCUUACCUGGUCUUGACAUCCACGGAAGUUUUCAGAGAUGGAAAUGUGCCUUCGGGAACCGUGAGACAGGUGCUGCAUGGCUGUCGUCAGCUCGUGUUGUGAAAUGUUGGGUUAAGUCCCGCAACGAGCGCAACCCUUAUCCUUUGUUGCCAGCGGUCCGGCCGGGAACUCAAAGGAGACUGCCAGUGAUAAACUGGAGGAAGGUGGGGAUGACGUCAAGUCAUCAUGGCCCUUACGACCAGGGCUACACACGUGCUACAAUGGCGCAUACAAAGAGAAGCGACCUCGCGAGAGCAAGCGGACCUCAUAAACUGCGUCGUAGUCCGGAUUGGAGUCUGCAACUCGACUCCAUGAAGUGGGAAUCGCUAGUAAUCGUGGAUCAGAAUGCCACGGUGAAUACGUUCCCGGGCCUUGUACACACCGCCCGUCACACCAUGGGAGUGGGUUGCAAAAGAAGUAUGUAGCUUAACCUUCGGGAGGGCG
Molecule: ribosomal RNA, 1416 nt
Filed under: Escherichia coli
Lineage: Bacteria; Pseudomonadati; Pseudomonadota; Gammaproteobacteria; Enterobacterales; Enterobacteriaceae
Description: partial 16S ribosomal RNA
Source: RNAcentral